CAAGGAAGGAAACAGAACGAUGGGAA
RNAcentral lists this non-coding RNA (26 nucleotides) under Homo sapiens (human). The record is from RNAcentral. Lineage: Eukaryota; Metazoa; Chordata; Mammalia; Primates; Hominidae.